This 437-nucleotide ribosomal RNA is filed under the name uncultured Oscillospiraceae bacterium. Its description in RNAcentral is "partial 16S ribosomal RNA". It matches the Rfam family "Bacterial small subunit ribosomal RNA", at positions 341 to 792 of the family's 1533-position model. Lineage: Bacteria; Bacillati; Bacillota; Clostridia; Eubacteriales; Oscillospiraceae. The record is from RNAcentral.
ACGGAAGGCAGCAGUGGGGAAUAUUGGGCAUUGGGCGAAAGCCUGACCCAGCGACGCCGCGUGAAGGAAGAAGGCCCUCGGGUUGUAAACUUCAGUCAACAGGGAAGAAACAAAUGACGGUACCUGUGGAGGAAGCCACGGCUAACUACGUGCCAGCAGCCGCGGUAAUACGUAGGUGGCGAGCGUUAUCCGGAUUUACUGGGUGUAAAGGGUGUGUAGGCGGGUCUGCAAGUCAGAUGUGAAAAUUAUGGGCUUAACCCAUAACUUGCGUUUGAAACUGUGGAUCUUGAGUGUCGGAUGGGUAAAUGGAAUUCCCAGUGUAGCGGUGAAAUGCGUAGAUAUUGGGAGGAACACCGGUGGCGAAGGCGGCUUACUGGACGAUUACUGACGCUGAGACACGAAAGUGUGGGGAGCAAACAGGAUUAGAUACCCUGGUA